Long non-coding RNA from Ipomoea triloba (trilobed morning glory), 207 nucleotides. RefSeq lists it as uncharacterized. The record is from RefSeq and is a predicted model, not a curated record. The transcript has 3 exons. Lineage: Eukaryota; Viridiplantae; Streptophyta; Magnoliopsida; Solanales; Convolvulaceae.
UUGCAGAUUCCGUGUACAGGAGAUAAGUACCAGAGGGACUUAUUACACAGCACGAAUUACUUCUCUUGAGUUGACUAAAGCUGGUUCAGUAUAUCACUAAAUCUGGUUGGAUAUGUAAGGAAACUGUGACCAACUUGAAGCAAACACAACCUCAAGUGGCAGAAUCAGCAGUGUGGUUGGAGGCCACUGGUGGUUUGAGGAAAGGGG